GAUGAACGCUGGCGGCGUGCCUAAUACAUGCAAGUCGAGCGAACGGACGAGAAGCUUGCUUCUCUGAUGUUAGCGGCGGACGGGUGAGUAACACGUGGAGAACCUACCUAUAAGACUGGGAUAACUUCGGGAAACCGGAGCUAAUACCGGAUAAUAUUUUGAACCGCAUGGUUCAAAAGUGAAAGACGGUCUUGCUGUCACUUAUAGAUGGAUCCGCGCUGCAUUAGCUAGUUGGUAAGGUAACGGCUUACCAAGGCAACGAUGCAUAGCCGACCUGAGAGGGUGAUCGGCCACACUGGAACUGAGACACGGUCCAGACUCCUACGGGAGGCAGAAGUAGGGAAUCUUCCGCAAUGGGCGAAAGCCUGACGGAGCAACGCCGCGUGAGUGAUGAAGGUCUUCGGAUCGUAAACCUCUGUUAUUAGGGAAGAACAUAUGUGUAAGUAACUGUGCACAUCUUGACGGUACCUAAUCAGAAAGCCACGGCUAACUACGUG
RNAcentral lists this ribosomal RNA (497 nucleotides) under uncultured bacterium. Its description in RNAcentral is "partial 16S ribosomal RNA". It matches the Rfam family "Bacterial small subunit ribosomal RNA", at positions 28 to 507 of the family's 1533-position model. The record is from RNAcentral.